This 1020-nucleotide ribosomal RNA is filed under the name Triticum aestivum (bread wheat). RNAcentral describes it as "partial small subunit ribosomal RNA". Lineage: Eukaryota; Viridiplantae; Streptophyta; Magnoliopsida; Poales; Poaceae. The record is from RNAcentral.
AUGAGGUUGCAGCCGGCAUCGUCUAUGAACAACUUUGUUAGGCAGUACCAGAAAAUAUUGUUCGACCUCCAAUCAGAGGAAGAUUUUCAAGAGAAGAAGACUCGUGUGGGUGGAUUUGUUUUUAACCUUGGAGUGCCACUAGAAUACCAUGCGAGCAAGGUCUAUACCGCAGCUAUGUAUGAGCUGUUUCAACACGCAAUUUACUUGUCAGGGUCAUAUGUGUUACAAGAGGCAUGUCGGACAGAGCUAGGUGUGGUGUACGUCGUUAACCACAUCUAUGCAGAGAGGAGGCAAGCUUGGUCCAGGACACAAUAUCAUGUUCUGUUUGAUCAGGAAUCUGGAGGAUAUUUAUGUGAGUGUGGUCUUUACUCACACAUGGGCAUGUUGUGUUGCCAUGCUAUCUGGGUCAUGCUAAAUCUGGGAGUUAGGGAGAUCCCUCAUGUACACAUCAUGAAGAGAUGGACAAAAAACGCUUGUGAGAACCUGCCAGAGCAUCUGAAGAUAUAUCAAGCAGGCAAUUCUGCACUGAAGGACGCAACUUACCGACACUCCAGCUUGUACAGUAAGGCGCUCGAGAUUGUACAGAUGGGGGAUAAGAACACCGAAGCUUAUGGAGCUGCAAUGAAGCAGUUACUAGAUGCAAUAAGUGUUCUAAACGAUACCAACCAGGAGAGUGAUGGGCUAGGAUUACAUGAUCAGGCAGCGGCUCCAGUCCAUGACCAAGAUACGCCUAUUACACCAGGAGCAAACAAACUGUCAGGAUCGAUGAAUGUUGUAUCAUGCAAGAGGGAUCGAGGCAGGCCAACAAAUGCAAGAGCAAAGCCAGGUUAUGAAAAUGUCAGUAAACCAAGAACAAAGUUUUGCUCUAUUUGUAGAGGGAGGGGUCAUAAAGCAUCUAAAUGCCCCUCAUAUGGAGGCGCAACAAAGAAGCAAAGGAAAGUCCCGAAAUGUACCAAGUGCGGCCUGGAAGGCCAUAAGAGGAACAACUGCUCUGGAAGUUUGUUCGGCGUCUUCCAAUGA